AGGAUGAACGCUGGCGGCGUGCCUAACACAUGCAAGUCGAACGUCCUGUCUCGCAAGAGGCAGGGAGUGGCGGACGGGUGAGUACCACGUGGGUUAUCUACCGUGAGGUGAGGAAUACCGGCGAGAAAUCGCCGACAAGACCGCAUAGGCUCGAUGCAAGUCGAGCAAAGCUCUUUCGAGAGAGGGAGCGCCACACGAGGAGCCUGCGCCCGAUUAGCUAGCUGGUGGAGUAACGGUUCACCAGGGCGACGAUCGGUAGCUGGUCUGAGAGGACGAUCAGCCACACUGGGAUUGAGAACGGCCCAGACUCCUACGGGGGGCAGCAGUGAGGAAUUUUCGUCAAUGGGGGCAACCCUGAACGAGCAACGCCGCGUGCAGGAAGAAGGUUUUCGGAUCGUAAACUGCUUUUCUCGGGGAAGAGAAUGGACGGUACCCGAGGAAUCAGCCCGGCUAACUACGUGCCAGCAGCCGCGGU
RNAcentral lists this ribosomal RNA (475 nucleotides) under uncultured bacterium. Its description in RNAcentral is "SSU rRNA". It matches the Rfam family "Bacterial small subunit ribosomal RNA", at positions 26 to 521 of the family's 1533-position model. The record is from RNAcentral.